This 848-nucleotide ribosomal RNA is filed under the name uncultured bacterium. RNAcentral's name for it is "bacterial SSU rRNA". It matches the Rfam family "Bacterial small subunit ribosomal RNA", at positions 56 to 907 of the family's 1533-position model. The record is from RNAcentral.
UGCAGUCGAACGAGAAAGCUUCUUCGGAAGUGAGUAAAGUGGCGCACGGGUGANUAACGCGUAGGCAACCUGCCCCUAAGAUUGGAAUAACUACGGGAAACCGUAGCUAAUACCGAAUAAUAUCCAACGGCCUCAUGGCCGAUGGAUCAAAACUCCGGUGCUUAGGGAUGGGCCUGCGUAAGAUUAGGUAGUUGGUGAGGUAACGGCUCACCAAGCCGACGAUCUUUAGCUGGUCUGAGAGGAUGAUCAGCCACACUGGCACUGAGACACGGGCCAGACUCCUACGGGAGGCAGCAGUGAGGAAUAUUGCGCAAUGGGGGAAACCCUGACGCAGCCACGCCGCGUGGUGGAUGACACCCCUAUGGGGCGUAAACACCUUUUAUGAGAGAAGAAGUCCCUAUUCGAUAGGGUUUGACGGUACCUCAUGAAUAAGCACCGGCUAACUCCGUGCCAGCAGCCGCGGUAAUACGGAGGGUGCAAGCGUUGUCCGGAAUCACUGGGUGUAAAGGGUGUGUAGGCGGAGCUGUAAGUCAGAGGUGAAAUCCUGCGGCUUAACCGUAGAACUGCCUUUGAUACUGCAGCCCUUGAAUAUUGGAGAGGUCACUAGAAUUCGUGGUGUAGCGGUGAAAUGCGUAGAUAUCACGAGGAAUACCAGAGGCGUANGCGGGUGACUGGACNAUUAUUGACGCUGANGCACGAAAGCGUGGGGGGCAAACAGGANUAGAUACCCUGGUAGUCCACGCCGUAAACGAUCAUCACUCGCUGUUGGCGAUAUACUGUCAGCGGCCAAGCGAAAGUAUUAAGUGAUGCACNUGGGGANUACGCCNGGCANCNGUGAAACUCAAAGG